AAUGAACGCUGGCGGCAUGCCUAACACAUGCAAGUCGAACGAAGCCUUCGGGCUUAGUGGCGCACGGGUGCGUAACGCGUGGGAAUCUGCCCUUUGGUUCGGAAUAACAGUUGGAAACGACUGCUAAUACCGGAUGAUGACGAAAGUCCAAAGAUUUAUCGCCAGAGGAUGAGCCCGCGUAGGAUUAGCUAGUUGGGGUGGUAAAGGCGCACCAAGGCGACGAUCCUUAGCUGGUCUGAGAGGAUGAUCAGCCACACUGGGACUGAGACACGGCCCAGACUCCUACGGGAGGCAGCAGUGGGGAAUAUUGGACAAUGGGCGAAAGCCUGAUCCAGCAAUGCCGCGUGAGUGAUGAAGGCCCUAGGGUUGUAAAGCUCUUUUACCCGGGAUGAUAAUGACAGUACCGGGAGAAUAAGCCCCGGCUAACUCCGUGCCAGCCGCCGCCGUAA
RNAcentral lists this ribosomal RNA (449 nucleotides) under uncultured bacterium. RNAcentral's name for it is "partial 16S ribosomal RNA". It matches the Rfam family "Bacterial small subunit ribosomal RNA", at positions 29 to 523 of the family's 1533-position model. The record is from RNAcentral.